This 253-nucleotide unclassified non-coding RNA is filed under the name uncultured Candidatus Altimarinota bacterium. RNAcentral describes it as "uncultured Candidatus Gracilibacteria bacterium contains 16S-23S intergenic spacer region". It matches the Rfam family "Bacterial small subunit ribosomal RNA", at positions 524 to 776 of the family's 1533-position model. Lineage: Bacteria; Candidatus Altimarinota. The record is from RNAcentral.
GACGGAAGGUGCAAGCGUUACUCGGAAUCACUGGGCGUAAAGCGUCCGCAGGCGUCUUAUUAAGUCUGGCGUAAAAGCACGGAGCUCAACUCCGUGUACGUGCCGGAAACUAAUAAGAUAGAGUUAUUCAGAGGUAUCUGGAAUGUCGUGUGUAGGGGUAAAAUCCGUUGAUCCACGAUGGAACGCCAAAAGCGAAAGCAGGAUACUGGGAAUAUACUGACGCUCAGGGACGAAAGCGUGGGGAGCAAAGGGG